RNAcentral lists this transfer RNA (84 nucleotides) under Callithrix jacchus (white-tufted-ear marmoset). It matches the Rfam family "tRNA". Rfam says of the family: Transfer RNA (tRNA) molecules are approximately 80 nucleotides in length. Their secondary structure includes four short double-helical elements and three loops (D, anti-codon, and T loops). Further hydrogen bonds mediate the characteristic L-shaped molecular structure. tRNAs have two regions of fundamental functional importance: the anti-codon, which is responsible for specific mRNA codon recognition, and the 3' end, to which the tRNAs corresponding amino acid is attached (by aminoacyl-tRNA synthetases). tRNAs cope with the degeneracy of the genetic code in two manners: having more than one tRNA (with a specific anti-codon) for a particular amino acid; and 'wobble' base-pairing, i.e. permitting non-standard base-pairing at the 3rd anti-codon position. Lineage: Eukaryota; Metazoa; Chordata; Mammalia; Primates; Cebidae. The record is from Rfam by way of RNAcentral.
ACCAGGGUGGCCGAGUAGUUAAAGGCAUUAGACUUAAGAGUCAAGGGACAUAUGUCCAUGUGGGUUUGAACCCCACUGCUGGUA